RNAcentral lists this ribosomal RNA (415 nucleotides) under uncultured bacterium. Its description in RNAcentral is "bacterial SSU rRNA". It matches the Rfam family "Bacterial small subunit ribosomal RNA", at positions 355 to 787 of the family's 1533-position model. The record is from RNAcentral.
UGGGGAAUAUUGGACAAUGGGCGAAAGCCUGAUCCAGCAAUGCCGCGUGAGUGAUGAAGGCCUUAGGGUUGUAAAGCUCUUUUACCCGGGAUGAUAAUGACAGUACCGGGAGAAUAAGCCCCGGCUAACUCCGUGCCAGCAGCCGCGGUAAUACGGAGGGGGCUAGCGUUGUUCGGAAUUACUGGGCGUAAAGCGCACGUAGGCGGCUUUGUAAGUUAGAGGUGAAAGCCCGGGGCUCAACUCCGGAAUUGCCUUUAAGACUGCAUCGCUAGAAUUGUGGAGAGGUAAGUGGAAUUCCGAGUGUAGAGGUGAAAUUCGUAGAUAUUCGGAAGAACACCAGUGGCGAAGGCGACUUACUGGACACAUAUUGACGCUGAGGUGCGAAAGCGUGGGGAGCAAACAGGAUUAGAUACCC